GUGCAAAAUCCCCCCCUUCCCGAUAGCAGCUGUGCAUGGUUUUUUAAGUCGGUCUUUAACGUUGCGAAAGGAACAAUAAAAUGAAAGGCAAAACCGGCAUCUUAAAACUUGGCAAGUGAAAGCAGCUUGGACUGGCAGCCAAGAAUCCUGCUGUGGUGCAAAAAGAAUAGCAUCCACGAAGCCACCACAAUCCGGGGUUUCUCUUCUUUUAACAAUCGCAUCGGCAGAGAGAAAUAAUUAUUCCUUGUAUCAGUGUUAAAAGAGUCAAAAAGCUUAAAAAGCUUGCUUGGUGAACCUUCUCAAAAGCAGAAUACGUUCUUUGAAGAGUUGGGCCUAGCAAUAUGGCAGCGCACAGUCGAUACGGAAUCUUGCAAAAUGCUGCUAUUGAGGACCACGUGCUCCCUGACCCAUUGCCUUCACUGCUGCACGAUCCUUACAGGGGCAGAGAUUUCCAAAUUCUGGGUGCUCCCCAAUUGCACUCAGGGUCCUAUGUAAAAGUUGUCCUGAGUUUUUCAAAGGUGCCCAACCCCUGCGGCUCCGGGUCUUGGGAGGAAUUUUUGGGUGCUGAAAACUUUGGAAAAGCCGGACGCUUUGAAGGUAGGUUUGGAGUAUAAGCCUAGGAAUCUAAAUUUAGAUGAUCAAUUUAGAUAACCUUUGGACAGAUGGGGAAAGUUUAACAUCUCCGUUGCUGGAUGGAACAGGAGUUGCUUGUAACCCAGCCCAAGCAAUAAUUCCAAUAAAGGAAAAUUGUGUGUUUUAAUUGCA
Molecule: long non-coding RNA, 765 nt
Filed under: Calidris pugnax (ruff)
Lineage: Eukaryota; Metazoa; Chordata; Aves; Charadriiformes; Scolopacidae
Description: lncRNA (ENSCPUG00000014037.1)
Source: RNAcentral